UCACUACUCCCUCUGUCCGGAAUUACUUGUUACAGAAAUGAAUAAAAAUGGAUGUAUCUAGAACUAAAAUAUGCUUAGAUACAUCCAUUUUUUCGACAAGUAAUUUCAGACGAAGAGAGUAGUAA
This is a non-coding RNA of Triticum aestivum (bread wheat), 125 nucleotides long. NCBI's taxonomy places the organism in Eukaryota, Viridiplantae, Streptophyta, Magnoliopsida, Poales, Poaceae. The record is from Rfam.